This 253-nucleotide ribosomal RNA is filed under the name uncultured bacterium. Its description in RNAcentral is "partial 16S ribosomal RNA". It matches the Rfam family "Bacterial small subunit ribosomal RNA", at positions 524 to 776 of the family's 1533-position model. The record is from RNAcentral.
UACAGAGGGGGCAAGCGUUAUUCGGAUUCACCGGGCGUAAAGGGUGCGCAGGCGGCCGAGUGUGUUAGAUGUGAAAUCCCGGGGCUCAACCCCGGAACUGCGUCUAAAACUACUUGGCUAGAGUAUUGGAGAGGGUAUCGGAAUUCACGGUGUAGCAGUGAAAUGCGUAGAUAUCGUGAGGAACACCAGAGGCGAAGGCGGAUACCUGGACAAUUACUGACGCUCAGGCACGAAAGCGUGGGGAGCAAACGGG